Molecule: ribosomal RNA, 460 nt
Filed under: uncultured bacterium
Lineage: Bacteria
Description: partial 16S ribosomal RNA
Rfam family: Bacterial small subunit ribosomal RNA
Source: RNAcentral
CCUACGGGAGGCUGCAGUGAGGAAUAUUGGUCAAUGGACGAGAGUCUGAACCAGCCAAGUAGCGUGAAGGAUGACUGCCCUAUGGGUUGUAAACUUCUUUUAUAAAGGAAUAAAACGAGGCACGUGUGCCUUUUUGCAUGUACUUUAUGAAUAAGGAUCGGCUAACUCCGUGCCAGCAGCCGCGGUAAUACGGAGGAUCCGAGCGUUAUCCGGAUUUAUUGGGUUUAAAGGGAGCGUAGAUGGGUUGUUAAGUCAGUUGUGAAAGUUUGCGGCUCAACCGUAAAAUUGCAAUUGAAACUGGCAGUCGUGAGUACAGUUGAGGUAGGCGGAAUGCGUGGUGUAGCGGUGAAAUGCUUAGAUAUCACGAAGAACCCCGAUUGCGAAGGCAGCUUACUAGACUGUGACUGACAUUGAUGCUCGAAAGUGUGGGUAUCAAACAGGAUUAGAUACCCUGGUAGUC